UCUGUAGCUCAAUGGACAGAACAGCCGCCUUCUAAGCGGUCUGCCGCUGGUUCUAAUCCAGCCGGGAGAGCCA
Molecule: transfer RNA, 73 nt
Filed under: Klebsiella aerogenes
Lineage: Bacteria; Pseudomonadati; Pseudomonadota; Gammaproteobacteria; Enterobacterales; Enterobacteriaceae
Description: tRNA-Arg
Rfam family: tRNA
About the family: Transfer RNA (tRNA) molecules are approximately 80 nucleotides in length. Their secondary structure includes four short double-helical elements and three loops (D, anti-codon, and T loops).
Source: RNAcentral